This 301-nucleotide ribosomal RNA is filed under the name uncultured bacterium. Its description in RNAcentral is "partial 16S ribosomal RNA". It matches the Rfam family "Bacterial small subunit ribosomal RNA", at positions 509 to 808 of the family's 1533-position model. The record is from RNAcentral.
CAGCCGCCGCGGGAACACGGAGGGGGCUAGCGUUGUUCGGAAUUACUGGGCGUAAAGCGCACGUAGGCGGCUUGGUAAGUUAGAGGUGAAAGCCCGGAGCUCAACUCCGGAAUUGCCUUUAAGACUGCCGAGCUAGCAGGUGAGAGAGGUAAGUGGAAUUCCGAGUGUAGAGGUGAAAUUCGUAGAUAUUCGGAAGAACACUAGUGGCGAAGGCGGCUUACUGGCUCAUACUGGACGCUGAGGUGCGAAAGCGUGGGGAGCAAACAGGAUUAGAUACCGCGUAGUCCCUGUCUCUUAUACA